GACGAACGCUGGCGGCGUGCUUAACACAUGCAAGUCGAACGGGCCUUGUCCCCUUUUUUUUUGGGGGUGGGGUUAGUGGCGAACGGGUGAGUAACACGUGAGUAACCUGCCCCUCACUUCUGGAUAACCGCUUGAAAGGGUGGCUAAUACGGGGUGUUCUGGCCUGCUCGCAUGGGUGGGUUUGGAAAGAUUCGACCGGUUUGGUUGUUUUGGUGGGGGAUGGGCUCGCGGCCUAUCAGCUUGUUGGUGGGGGGAUGGCCUGCCAAGGCUUUGACGGGUAGCCGGCCUGGGAGGGUGGGCGGUCACACUGGGACUGAGACACGGCCCAGACUCCUACGGGAGGCAGCAGUGGGGAAUAUUGCACAAUGGGCGCAAGCCUGAUGCAGCGACGCCGCGUGAGGGAUGGAGGCCUUCGGGUUGUGAACCUCUUUCGCCAGUGAAGAAGGUCCUGCUCUUUGUGGUGGGGUUGACGGUAGCUGGGUUAAUGAAGCGCCGGCUAACUACGUG
Molecule: ribosomal RNA, 507 nt
Filed under: uncultured bacterium
Lineage: Bacteria
Description: partial 16S ribosomal RNA
Rfam family: Bacterial small subunit ribosomal RNA
Source: RNAcentral